RNAcentral lists this ribosomal RNA (171 nucleotides) under Proteiniclasticum sediminis. RNAcentral describes it as "Bacterial small subunit ribosomal RNA". It matches the Rfam family "Bacterial small subunit ribosomal RNA", at positions 1 to 164 of the family's 1533-position model. Lineage: Bacteria; Bacillati; Bacillota; Clostridia; Eubacteriales; Clostridiaceae. The record is from Rfam by way of RNAcentral.
UAAUUUGAGAGUUUGAUCCUGGCUCAGGACGAACGCUGGCGGCGUGCCUAACACAUGCAAGUCGAGCGGAGGAUUCAAGAUGUUUACAUCGCGGAUCCUUAGCGGCGGACGGGUGAGUAACACGUGGGUAACCUGCCUCAAAGUGGGGGAUAGCCUUUCGAAAGGAAGAUU